RNAcentral lists this small RNA (1642 nucleotides) under Pongo abelii (Sumatran orangutan). RNAcentral's name for it is "retained intron". Lineage: Eukaryota; Metazoa; Chordata; Mammalia; Primates; Hominidae. The record is from RNAcentral.
CUCGGCUUUGCCUGGACAACUCCUGCCUCCCGCAGGGCCCACCUGUGUCCCCCAGUGCCGCUCCACCCAGGCCCAGCUGGUACCCCCCCUCCACCAGUACCUGAAGAAGUGGGGCUCUCACCCUACCUGCCUCUGCCAUUGGAAUGGCCUGGUUUGCACAGAUGGGAAGCCCAUUUGAGGGGUGGGUGUCUGGGUGGGCACGUGGGGUGAGGACCUGCCUGAGGGACCCUGCCCUGGAACUGACCGUGCAAGCUCAGCGUCCUGCCCAUCUGGGCAGAAGGCUGGUUUCUCCCAUCAAUGAAACCCUCCCAGGACCUUCCUGCAGGCCCUCGUCCCACACAGCUCUGCCGUCCCUUGGUGCCCCUUCCGGCCUCAGGUCCUCCAUGCCGGGUACCUCCGGGCACCUCGAUUGGCUGAGCCAGGGGUUCAGCCUGGCAGGGGGCCCUGGCAGCAGUCCUUGGCCUGUGGAUGCUGUCCUGGCCUGUGGAUGGUGUCCCGGCCUCCACGUACCCCUCUCAGCCCCUCCUCUUGGACCCCAGCCAUGGGCCUGCGCGCGAGCCGGAACUGCUCCCGGACAGAGAAUGCCGUGUGUGGCUGCAGCCCAGGCCACUUCUGCAUCAUCCAGGAUGGGGACCACUGCGCCGCGUGCCGCGCUUACGCCACCUCCAGCCCGGGCCAGAGGGUGCAGAAGGGAGGCACCGAGAGUCAGGACACCCUGUGUCAGAACUGCCCCCCGGGGACCUUCUCUCCCAAUGGGACCCUGGAGGAAUGUCAGCACCAGACCAAGUGCAGCUGGCUGGUGACGAAGGCCGGACCUGGGACCAGUAGCUCCCACUGGGUAUGGUGGUUUCUCUCAGGGAGCCUCGUCAUCGUCAUUGUUUGCUCCACACUUGGCCUAAUCAUAUGUGUGAAAAGAAGAAAGCCAAGGGGUGAUAUAGUCAAGGUGAUCGUCUCCGUCCAGAGGAAAAGACAGGAGGCAGAAGGUGAGGCCACAGUCAUCGAGGCCCUGCAGGCCCCUCCGGACGUCACCACGGUGGCUGUGGAGGAGACAGUACCCGCAUUCACGGGGAGGAGCCCAAACCACUGACCCACAGACUCUGCACCCCGAUGCCAGAGAUACCUGGAGCGACGGCUGCUGAAAGAGGCUGUCCACCUGGCGGAACCACCGGAGCCCGGAGGCUUGGGGGCUCCGCCCUGGGCUGGCUUCCGUCUCCUCCAGUGGAGGGAGAGGUGGGGCCCCUGCUGGGGUGGAGCUGGGGACGCCACGUGCCAUUCCCAUGGGCCAGUGAGGGCCUGGGGCCUGUGCUCGGCUGUGGCCUGAGCUCCCCGGAGUCCUGAGGAAGAGCGCCAGUUGCCCCUCGCUCACAGACCACACACCCAGCACUCUUGGGCCAGCCCAGAGGGCCCUUCAGACCCCAGCUGUCUGCGUGUGUGACUAUUGUGGCCUCAGCAGGACAGGCCCGGGCACUGCCUCACGGCCAAGGCUGGACUGGGUUGGCUACAGUGUGGUGUUAAGUGGAUACCACAUUUGAAGUGAUUUUCUAAAUUGGAUUUGCAUUUGGCUCCUGUUUUCUAUUUGUCAUGAAACAGUGUAUUUGGGGAGAUGCUGUGGGAGGAUGUAAAUAUCUUGUUUCUCCUCAAA